UCUAAUGAAACAAACACAUUUUUUGUUGUUAUCUAGAAACCAUAUUAAAUAAAAAAAAUUGUUUCCAAAUUCCUAAUGUUAAUUUUAUCUAUUUGUAUGCGAAAUACGUGAGUUGGAAUGAAAACCUUCUCAAAUAAAGGUAAUCACAUGAUAUAGGUAUACAAUAAUACCGCACAUUAUCAUUCAAUACAAGAGAAUAUUGUGCAAACCAUCAUUAUGGUGAGAACGAUUUUUAUAUCGAUCUUAGUUUUUGCUCUGUGUUAUGAACAAGUAAUAUGUCAAAGUGUUUGCCAACCAUGUACACAAGCAGUUAUCAAUUACUGCUGUACAUAUGAAAAUUCAUGUUGUGAUAUAGCUGUAGAAUCUGGUGCAAGGUUUUGUCCAUUGUUGUCCGAAAGUCAGUCAAGAGAAGUUUGCCAGAAGAAUGGGAACAAAUGCAACAGCAGAUCUGACUGCCCAAAUCCAAAAAGCCAGAAUUGUUGCCCAACUAACCGUUGUGGAUCUCUUUGCGUGGAAAGUCACACCUUACCCAAGGCAUGAAAUGUUCGAUAAAUGAAUUAUUUUAAAAUUAUUUUAUCUAAACGAAUUAUUUUUCAAAUUAAAAUGAUUUUAUUCUUA
This is a long non-coding RNA of Harmonia axyridis, 618 nucleotides long. RefSeq lists it as uncharacterized. The record is from RefSeq and is a predicted model, not a curated record. The transcript is spliced from 2 exons. NCBI's taxonomy places the organism in Eukaryota, Metazoa, Arthropoda, Insecta, Coleoptera, Coccinellidae.